GUGCGUUAGCGAUUGAUACGGUAUCCUUUUUUGUGCGCGCUUAUGCGCAAAAAAGAUAUAGUGGAAAGCGCGACUCUUG
This 79-nucleotide non-coding RNA is filed under the name unclassified sequences. Its description in RNAcentral is "Flavo-1 RNA". The stretch from base 9 to 79 matches the Rfam family "Flavo-1 RNA", at positions 9 to 76 of the family's 76-position model. RNAcentral also lists the same sequence under 1 other name. The record is from RNAcentral.